AACGAACGCUGGCGGCGUGUCUUAAGCAUGCAAGUCGUGCGGCAAGGGGUAGCAAUACCCCCUAGAGCGGCGGACUGGUGAGUAACGCGUGGGUGAUCUGCCCUUGGGAUGGGGAUAGCCAUUAGAAAUAGUGGGUAAUACCGAAUACGUUCGCCAUACCACGGUAUGGCGAGGAAAAGCGCUUCGGCGCUGCCCGAGGAUGAGCCCGCGUCCCAUUAGCUAGUUGGUGAGGUAAGAGCCCACCAAGGCGAUGAUGGGUAGGCGGCCUGAGAGGGUGUACGCCCACACUGGGACUGAGAUACGGCCCAGACUCCUACGGGAGGCUG
RNAcentral lists this ribosomal RNA (326 nucleotides) under uncultured Spirochaetota bacterium. Its description in RNAcentral is "bacterial SSU rRNA". It matches the Rfam family "Bacterial small subunit ribosomal RNA", at positions 29 to 351 of the family's 1533-position model. The record is from RNAcentral. Lineage: Bacteria; Pseudomonadati; Spirochaetota.